RNAcentral lists this long non-coding RNA (3562 nucleotides) under Marmota monax (woodchuck). The record is from RNAcentral. Lineage: Eukaryota; Metazoa; Chordata; Mammalia; Rodentia; Sciuridae.
AUUUGAUUAUAAUGUGAUGCUUAAGUUUCUUUGGCCUCAUUGGCUCUGUGGAUUUAUAUUUUUCAUAAUAUUGAAAGUGAUUUUUAUAUUGAUGAUUUUUAUAUUGAUGCUACAAAAAUAGAAUGUGGCUGAUGUGUGUGUGUGUGUGUGUGUGUGCACCUGCGUAUAUGUGCAUGUGCAUGUGUAUGUAUGUAUAAAUUAUUGAAAAGCUAUGGGAUAAUCAUAGAAGUGUGAAAAAAGCAGCAAAAUCCCUGGCAUGUCACAGAACUCUUACUUCCAACGUCACAUGUAGCAGACUGAAUCACUGUUCCAGGCCACUUGAACUGCAUGCUGUCCCCAUUACCCCUACAGGUUUUUGGAUGGUAAGGUACCACAUCAAAUUAAUUCAAAGACACAUGACUAUAUUCUAGCUGCAAAAGUUAUGGAAAAAUUAUUUCACCCUUUUAUCUUAUAUAUUGAAAAAAAUCUUUGCCUGCAAGCAAUAAGUAUCACUGAAACAUUUUAUGUGUAGAAUGAGGACAAUUUAUUAUCUCAGCUAUUUGAAUAUGAACACUCUGGCUAAGACUACAUUUCCAGCAUUCCUUGCCCCAUAUGAUAUUGACACUUGUGAAUUGCUCCAUGAAAUAUUUGCUCUUAUUUAUACUCUAAUUGAGACUAUGUUCAUACCUACUUUUAUCUUAUGACUUGUUCUUUCUCCAAUAACAUAAACAAAUCAGAAUGCUAUACUUCUAUGCUACUUGUAAACUAUAUUAGGAAUCAAGUUUCUGUUGUUCUUGAGUCAAUCUUCCCCUAGACUGUGUUCUUAUUGAUGAAAUAAAGAUGCUAGAUUCAGUGUUAUUAGUAUCAUUUUGAACUUUCUUUCAUGUAAUUUUUAAAAAUUUAUACAUGACAGCAGAAUGCAUUACAAUUCUUAUUACAUAUAUAGAACACAAUUUUUCAUAUCUCUGGUUGUAUACAUAGUAUAUUCACACCAAUUUGUGUCUUCAUACAUGUACUUUGGAUAGUAAUGAUCAUCACAUUCCACCAUCAUUAAUUACUCCAUGCCUCCUCCCUUACCCUUCAACUCCUCUGCCCUAAUUAGAGUUCAUCUAUUCUUCCCAUGCUCCUGCUCCUUAUGCCACUAUGAAUCAGCCUCCUUAUAUCAAAGAAAAUGUUUUGGCAUUUGUUUUUUUUUUAUGAUUGGCUAUCUUAACUUAGCAUUAUGUUCUCUAACUCCAUCCAUUUACUUACAAAUGCCAUGAUUUAAUUCUCUUUUAUUGCUGAGUAAUAUUCCAUUGUGUAUAUAUGCCACAUUUUUUUUUAUCCAUUCAUCUAUUGAAGGGCAUCUAGGUUGGUUCCACAGUUUAGGUAUUGUGAAUUGCUAUAAACACUGAUGUGGUUAUGUCCCUGUAGUAGGCUGUUUUUAAGUCCUUUGGAUAUAAACCAAGGAGAGGAACAGCUGGGUCAAAUGGUGGUUCCGUUCUUGAAAUAUUUUAUCAAAAUGUUACAGUGAUAGCUCUGAUACUAAAAACUAUCCCAUUUUACAUGAUCCCAUGGUUUUGUGCAAUUAUAUUUUUCAUAAAAUAUCAAUUUUUUUUAAAAAAUCAAUAUUAUAUCUUUAUAUAAGAUAAAAUUUAAUGUCUUAAACUGAAUUAAGAUUAAUUUUAGAUUAAUAUUAAAUUACAUGCUAUGUUCUAUAUUUCUUAUAAAAAUAAUAACAACUCUUGACAACACUGUUAUUGUGACUUUUCGUAGCAUAUCCUGGUAAGUCAAAGAUAGUUACUGAAAGUACAGUUGUAUAAAUCCUAAUCGAUUUGCAAAGUAUUUCUCAUCUAGCUAGAUUUAGAAGUAAGAGCAGAUAUUCAUUUUUAACUUGAAUUGUUCUUUUUAGUAAUAAGCAUUGUCAAAGUUUUGUGAAUAUCCCCAAGAAUCAACAUGAUUAUUUGGACAUGUGUGACUAAAACCUACUCUGGCUUAGAAAUUUCUUUCUAAAUUAUAGCUUUCCAUGGAAAGCCGUGGACGAGAAAAGUAUCGUGUUUCUGGUUACAUUUCCAUGAAUUUUUGAGUUGUUAUUCUUCAGUUUCACAUAAAGGAAUUUCAUAAAAUCAAACUGCAUCUCCAUCACAGCUUAAUAAAUAUUUUAAAAGGAAAACUUACUUCAAAAUAUGCCAGAAUCAAAAAGAGGAAUUGGGGGGGGUAAGAAAAUUUGACAUCUAAAUCAGGACCUUCAAAAGCUGCAUAGUCUCACCUGUAAGUAGAACCUAAAGAAGUUGAUCUCAUAGUAAUAAAUAAUAGAACAAUGGUUAAGGGGAGGGGAUGUGGUGGAUGGACAGAAGAUGGUUAAUGGUUAUAUGGGUGCAGUUAGAAGAAAUAACUCCUAAUGGUCCAUGAGUUAAGUAUAGUUUACAAAAAUUAACCACAUAUUUCAAAAUAACUAGUAGAAAAGAUUUUUAAUAUUUCCAACACCAGGAAAUUAUGAAUGUUCGAGAUCAUGAUAUGCCAGUUACCCCAAUCUGUACAUCAUGUACGUGUACUGAAGUGUCACACUGUAUCCCAUUAGUAUGUACAAUUAUUAGGGGUCAAUUAAUACUAAAAAUUAAAAAAAAAACAGGCCUUUGUUGGUUAAGUUAUCAAGGAAUAGGUGGUCUCUGAUUUGCACAUAUGUUUGGAGAAGGAAUGCACCAUGUAAACAUAUUAAAAUUAGGAUUAUUUAUUUAUAGACGUCUGUAUAUGCCUAGAUUUUUAUUGCAUCCUUAUGUGAUCAUGUUCAAUAGCAUUUCAAAUUAAUAUUAUGUCAUAUUUACUUUCAUUAUUAAAAAAAUGUGUUAAUAUAGUCUGUGUACCUUGAUUCAAUCCCAGAAACUCUAAGUGAUAUAGCAUUAUUCAAAACUAUAUUUCCAAUAUUGUAAAGCAUAUAUAUUUUCAUAAUACCAUUAUACCUCUGAUCAGGUACCUCUUAGUACACCAUUUAGUUCAUGCUCAAUAAAAUUAGAUAUCAGUCACAUCCACCACUGGUUUUCACUAUAUCACUUACACCCAGAGGGAAUGUGUUUGUCUCUAGCUAGAGUGAAAAUCUUGUUUAUAAACAGAAUAUUCUCAUCAUGAAUGUAAAUGUGUUGGUGUCACUUUAAUCAUGAACUUGAUGAGCCAUGCUAUAUUGUUUAUUUAGGCUCAGAAAUGCACAUAUUGUAAGGCUGGAAAGAGGAAAUGUUGAUUUAUGAACCAAGAACUAGAGAUGUGACAACCAGAUCACAGUUCAGCCUUGGAGCCUGCUGCUUCCUAAGUCUGCCAUAAAGGAAAAAGGGGCUAUAGGAAGGGAAAUAGCUUUGGUUUCUUACUAUCAGGAAUAUCUUCUUUUAUGUUGGACAUGCAGAGAGUUACCAAUGUAGAGUGUGUCAUAAGUGCCAUGAGUUGCAGUACUCUUUUCUUAUUACUGCCUUGUCUCUUAUGUAUUGACAUUUGUGAUUCAGAACACUGAUAUAAAAAGGCAGGUUUAUCUUUGUUCAGAUAAACCUAGGACAACUCAAUACAUAUUUGUAUGUCUGAGUAUCCAUUUCUCUCUCUCUCUCUUUUUUUUUCUCUC